Aethina tumida (small hive beetle) is the source of this 833-nucleotide long non-coding RNA. RefSeq lists it as uncharacterized. The transcript is spliced from 4 exons. NCBI's taxonomy places the organism in Eukaryota, Metazoa, Arthropoda, Insecta, Coleoptera, Nitidulidae. The record is from RefSeq and is a predicted model, not a curated record.
UCGCACAUAGUCCACAUCCUCUGAGAUAAUUCAAGACCGUCCUUAGUUUUCAUAGGUUAUAGGCCCAAACCCCGAUGAAGAUCGGAACUGUUGUAAUAACCACAGCUAAUGAGAGGUACUUACUCAAAAGAAUUGGCAGCCGACAUAGAACUACAGUGGCACCGUACGAACAGGUACGAACCUGGCCUGAUACGGAAAUUCUAUAAGGUGGUGUUGAAAACUAAAUUGACAUACAUUUAGGUUAUGUGUGAAGCAGUCUGCUCCAUCUACAAUUAAAUCUGAAAGAGUCUAUAUCUGAAAAACUAAAAUGAUGUUCACCAUUACAUUUAUGCAGCUGUGUUUAUCAAUGUUCUAAUACAUCUGAAAUCUGAAGCAAAAUAUUUAAGAUGUGGUGAAGCACCCCCACAUAAUAAUGUCACAUGUCGCAAUACUGUGAAACUCGGAAAAGUACCUCACCCUUGCUGUAUUUUCAUCCAUUAUUUCUCUCUUAUUCUUCGUAUGCAAUAGACAGAAUUUGACAACUUCUAUUUGCUAAAUUAUUUAUAUGCUGAAUCCAUAACAUGGCACUGUCCAGAGUAAAUCCUAAAAUCUGUAUGGUCUCAGGACUGGACUUAAGUCUUUUGGAGAGGAAAAUAUUCUGGGUCUUUCCUGUAUUCAGUCUUAAACCAUUAGUCUAUGGUUAUUACAUAUAUCAACAUUAUUUUUUUUGUAAAUUGGUAUAUUAUUUUUUAUUUUAAUUCACUUGGAAAGAUUCCUUAAUUGAAACAAUCAUUUAUUAGCAUUUAUUACAUCACACAACGGAAAAAUGAUUUCGCUUUCAACUGCCAUGAGUA